UCAGCCUCUUCCUGUCUGCACAAGGAAAUCCUGUUCAUAAGUCUGUCUUUGUGAACAGCCCAGGUCUGCCUCCAGACUCACACUCAUCCCAGGCAGAGAUGUCACUCCACAAUGAACUCUUGAAUGCUUGAAGGAAGUGAGGAGCAAGAUUAACUACACUGGAAUCCUGGCUGCGGCUGAGCUGAAUCCUCGCACCAUGUCUGCUUUAGUCAGCACUGCCUCCAGUGCAUGUCUCCCAGUCACGCACCAACAACCCCUGACUGAAACGACUGCCAUCUCCAUUACUUCAAGAUACACAGAGGCACACAAAGCAAGUCUAAUGCUUUAAGGUCUACCAAGCCUGGCUGCCUGAGUAAAGCUCCUUUUAGUCCGUGCUGUAACUUCUACCCAUCUGCAAGUGACCCAGUUGCCCCAGAGCACCCCCUACAGAUGUGAUGUAAAGGUUGGUUCUCUACCUCAGCAGGCUGUGGAAGUACUCCUAUCCCUAAAUAUUGCCAGGCAAAUGAUCUGUAAUUUGAAUUGUAAAUAAGAUGUCUAUCCCCUUCAAAUGAAGAUAAAUGAUGUAGGCAUUAAGGUGAAAUCUGUACCAUAAAUCAACUUUAAACAGUGUUUGCUCCUUCUUGGUAUUUGUGCGCCCGUUUGUACUUCUGUGGGAGUAUCACAGUGUGCCAGGGGUUACACACUCACCCCACCCCCGCCUGUCAUGGCAUGUGAUGUUUUUCUAAUUACUCUGAAAAAUGACGGAGUGCAUCUCCAUCCGAGUGUGACUACGCCACCACCGGCUGCCGAGACAUACAUCACUCUAAUUGGCUCAAAUAGCUCUAAUAUAUGCCACCAUGUUGCCUUCAUGGAUCAGCAGCGUCGCCUUUUGAAAAUCAAUACAGGAACAGCAUAAUGGGACACAAGAGUGUUACGUUCAAUAAGCAGCCCAAUGACUUUGGCAUUUCAGUGUUAAUCCUUUUGCUAUCCAGAAGUAGUGAGAGCGGUAAUUUGCGGUAAUUGGAGGAACAUUAAGGCCUGAGAUUGAGACAGGAAGGGCUGAAAUAUGUCAGGAUGUGUUUUGUCAGUGGUAUGAGUGCAUGUGUCCAGUGGAAUAUUUUUUUAAUUAUAGGUAUACUGAUGCCUGGAAAUAUGACAGAACAGAGAGUGGGAGGUUGAUGCUGCAGGGCACUGAUGCUUAAUCAUUGACAUUUGGCACAAUUUUCCAAUGUGUGGGUGAUAUGGUGACCUGUAAUCUCUGGUUUUGUUGUGCAUAUUUUGCUGCACUAGUUUUGCAUAGGUCAUAUAACAGUGAUUGGUGUUACACUGCAAAAGAAAAUUUCACCUGUAAAAAACAAUAUUUCAAA
Molecule: long non-coding RNA, 1346 nt
Organism: Perca fluviatilis (European perch)
Lineage: Eukaryota; Metazoa; Chordata; Actinopteri; Perciformes; Percidae
Exons: 4
Source: RefSeq, a predicted model, not a curated record